Molecule: long non-coding RNA, 1024 nt
Organism: Oreochromis niloticus (Nile tilapia)
Lineage: Eukaryota; Metazoa; Chordata; Actinopteri; Cichliformes; Cichlidae
Exons: 4
Source: RefSeq, a predicted model, not a curated record
AAACCACACCUAUAUAAAAAUCCCCUGAUCAGCCACACUAACCCUUUACAUCGGCCAUUGAGAGCAUAACACUUUGUUCACAGCACGGACAACAAACCUAAGAGCCUUCUUUUCAACAUGGACAGCAUAUAUGGUAGGUAAAACAAGACUAUAACGGAUUCUUAAAUUUAUACAACUGUAUAUCAAAAAAUAUUCAAAAUGUUUUCUCUUCUAAACAAAAGCCUGAUUUUUAGGAACAUGGCACACUGGGACAUCCCACGCGGCACAUACACAAGGUUUGUAUUUCUUCUUCUCACACAAAACAGCUUGUGCCUCAUUGUUUAGAAGUAAUCUUACCUGUUUCACACAUAGUAACAUUUAAAUGUGUAUUUCUCAUUCUUUCUACAGGAUCACAAAGCUAUAUAGGGCAAACAACACCUCUAAAAAACACAAGGUUCAAUAAGUUGUCCAGAAAAACCUACAGAAGCGGGGGCAAUAAGACCAAGCCUUACGCUAGGCCUGAGACAGAGUACACAGUGUGUCAAGAAGAGGGGCCAUCCGGAAUAACACAGAACAAAGUCGAUCACACAACCCCUUACCACUACGGAUCCCUUGAAGACCCCUUAACGUUUUUGGAAUAUUUACGUGAUAUUGAACUCCCAGAACAACAAGAAAAACCACAAUCUUUGGGCAACGUCGGAGAAUCGGAAGAAUUCUUCAUCACCGGACCACACAUACCAGCGAGUGAGUGUCUGCCUAGUGAUUUCAGUGAUGUUUUCGAGUACAGCCUAUCAGAUUUCAACAUAAAUGACAUACCCGCCACUCCAGAAUGUCUCAGAAACAACCGUGAUUCAGACAUAGGUUUUGAAGAAGGUUGCAUAACAGACUCACAAAUAUCGCAGGCAUAUGAUGCAUACUUAAAUGCAGCAAUACCCUCUACUUUUGAACAGAGCCAUUAUGCUUCAAAAAAUGAUAUAUUAUCUUUGAUCGAUGCUAAACUUAGUCAACAUCAACGAGAAAUAGAGGCUAAACUUAACCAGCAACA